Molecule: long non-coding RNA, 285 nt
Filed under: Salvia miltiorrhiza (redroot sage)
Lineage: Eukaryota; Viridiplantae; Streptophyta; Magnoliopsida; Lamiales; Lamiaceae
Description: long non-coding RNA (SMIL_LNC012823)
Source: RNAcentral
GGUGGCGCCACUAGGAUGAUGAUGGAUAGGGAGAGGUGGUGGUGGAGGAUGAAUUUGCCGAGCUCCACCAGCUGGCCCAUUCUUGGAGAUGGGUAGAGGACUAUCAUCUUCAACUUCACUUAAUUCAUCUCAUGCAUGCUACUAAUCAAGAUCACUACUGCUCAAUGUUUGAAGACAAUAAUGACCACAAUUUCACCUACCUUGGCAUAUAAAAAUAUACCAGAAAUAUGUUAGUUAGCUUCUUCAUAGCAGACUCAGUUAGAGUAGCAAACCAUUUUAAUGAGG